GACGAACGCUGGCGGCGUGCCUAACACAUGCAAGUCGAACGGAGUAAACCGCUGAAUUGAUGGUAGCUUGCUACUGGAUUUUCUUGGUUUACUUAGUGGCGGACGGGUGAGUAACGCGUGAGUAACCUGCCUUACAGAGGGGGACAACAGUUGGAAACGACUGCUAAUACCGCAUAAUAUAUGAUUGUCGCAUGGCAGACAUAUCAAAGGAGCAAUCCGCUGUAAGAUGGACUCGCGUCCAAUUAGAUAGUUGGUGGGGUAACGGCCCACCAAGUCGACGAUUGGUAGCCGGACUGAGAGGUUGAACGGCCACAUUGGGACUGAGACACGGCCCAG
This 336-nucleotide ribosomal RNA is filed under the name uncultured bacterium. RNAcentral's name for it is "bacterial SSU rRNA". It matches the Rfam family "Bacterial small subunit ribosomal RNA", at positions 28 to 334 of the family's 1533-position model. The record is from RNAcentral.